Molecule: ribosomal RNA, 450 nt
Filed under: uncultured bacterium
Lineage: Bacteria
Description: partial 16S ribosomal RNA
Rfam family: Bacterial small subunit ribosomal RNA
Source: RNAcentral
GUGGGGAAUCUUCCACAAUGGACGAAAGUCUGAUGGAGCAACGCCGCGUGAGUGAAGAAGGGUUUCGGCUCGUAAAGCUCUGUUGUCGGGGACGAAUGUGCAGUAUUUGAAUAAAGUAGUGCAAUGACGGUACCUGACGAGGAAGCCACGGCUAACUACGUGCCAGCAGCCGCGGUAAUACGUAGGUGGCAAGCGUUGUCCGGAAUUAUUGGGCGUAAAGGGAGCGCAGGCGGGAAGGUAAGUCGGUCUUAAAAGUGCGGGGCUCAACCCCGUGAUGGGAUCGAAACUAUCUUUCUUGAGUGCAGGAGAGGAAAGUGGAAUUCCUAGUGUAGCGGUGAAAUGCGUAGAUAUUCGGAAGAACACCAGUGGCGAAGGCGACUCACUGGCCCGUUACUGACGCUGAGGCGCGAAAGCGUGGGGAGCAAACAGGAUUAGAAACCCGUGUAGUCC